GAUGAACGCUGGCGGCAUGCCUUACACAUGCAAGUCGAACGGCAGCACGGGAGCUUGCUCCUGGUGGCGAGUGGCGAACGGGUGAGUAAUAUAUCGGAACGUGCCCAGUAGUGGGGGAUAGCCCGGCGAAAGCCGGAUUAAUACCGCAUGAGACCUGAGGGUGAAAGCGGGGGAUCGCAAGACCUCGCGCUACUGGAGCGGCCGAUAUCAGAUUAGCUAGUUGGUGGGGUAAAGGCCUACCAAGGCAACGAUCUGUAGUUGGUCUGAGAGGACGACCAGCCACACUGGGACUGAGACACGGCCCAGACUCCUACGGGAGGCAGCAGUGGGGAAUUUUGGACAAUGGGCGCAAGCCUGAUCCAGCAAUGCCGCGUGCAGGAAGAA
This 384-nucleotide ribosomal RNA is filed under the name uncultured bacterium. RNAcentral describes it as "bacterial SSU rRNA". It matches the Rfam family "Bacterial small subunit ribosomal RNA", at positions 28 to 412 of the family's 1533-position model. The record is from RNAcentral.